CACGUAGGGGGCAAGCGUUGUCCGGAAUCAUUGGGCGUAAAGAGCUCGUAGGCGGCUCAGUAAGUCGGGUGUGAAACCCCCAGGCUCAACCUGGGGACGCCACCCGAUACUGCUGUGGCUAGAGUCCAGUAGAGGAGUGUGGAAUUCCCGGUGUAGCGGUGAAAUGCGCAGAUAUCGGGAGGAACACCAGCGGCGAAGGCGGCACUCUGGGCUGGUACUGACGCUGAGGCGCGAAAGCUAGGGGAGCAAACGGG
Molecule: ribosomal RNA, 254 nt
Filed under: uncultured bacterium
Lineage: Bacteria
Description: partial 16S ribosomal RNA
Rfam family: Bacterial small subunit ribosomal RNA
Source: RNAcentral